RNAcentral lists this ribosomal RNA (1244 nucleotides) under metagenome. Its description in RNAcentral is "bacterial LSU rRNA". It matches the Rfam family "Bacterial large subunit ribosomal RNA", at positions 1564 to 2817 of the family's 2925-position model. The record is from RNAcentral.
UGAAUACGAGAUGCUACGGCAUUGAAGCAGUGUAUGUCAGACUUCCAAGAAAAGCUCGCAAUGUCAUAAACAAUAAAUGCCUGUACCAUAACCGACACAGGUGGGUAGGUAGAGUAUACUAAGGGGCGCGAGAUAACUCUCUCUAAGGAACUCGGCAAAAUGACUCCGUAACUUCGGGAGAAGGAGUGCCUUAUUUUAUAAGGUUGCAAUAACAAGAUCCAAGCAACUGUUUACCAAAAACACAGGUCUCCGCUAAGUCGAAAGACGAUGUAUGGGGGCUGACGCCUGCCCAGUGCCAGAAGGUUAAAGAAGUUGGUUAGCUUCUGCGAAGCUGAUGACUGAAGCCCUGGUGAACGGCGGCCGUAACUAUAACGGUCCUAAGGUAGCGAAAUUCCUUGUCGGGUAAGUUCCGACCCGCACGAAAGGCGUAAUGAUUUGGAUACUGUCUCGGAGAGGGGCUCGGUGAAAUAGACUUGUCUGUGAAGAUGCGGACUACCUGCACCUGGACAGAAAGACCCUAUGAAGCUUUACUGUAACUUGAGAUUGAAAUUGGACUUUAUUUGCGCAGUAUAGGUGGGAGACGUUGAGAAUAUUCUUGCGGGAAUAUUGGAGUCAUCAGUGAGAUACCACUCUUGUAAUGUUAGAUUUCUAACUUUGUAUCAUUAUCUGGUCAAAGGACAGUUUCAGGCGGGCAGUUUGACUGGGGCGGUCGCCUCCUAAACGGUAACGGAGGCGCACAAAGGCUUCCUCUGAACGUGUAGAAAUCGUAUCUAGAGUGUAAAGGCAUAAGGAAGCUUGACUGUGAGACCUACAAGUCGAGCAGGGACGAAAGUCGGUCUUAGUGAUCUGACGGUGCUGAGUGGAAAGGCCGUCACUCAACGGAUAAAAGUUACUCUAGGAUAACAGGCUGAUCUCCCCCAAGAGUUCACAUCGACGGGGAGGUUUGGCACCUCGAUGUCGGCUCAUCGCAUCCUGGGGCGGUAGUACGUCCCAAGGGUUGGGCUGUUCGCCCAUGAAAGCGGUACGCGAGCUGGGUUCAGAACGUCGUGAGACAGUUCGGUCCAUAUCCGGUGUAGGCGUUAGAAUAUUGAGAGGAGCCUUCUUUAGUACGAGAGGUCCGAGAAGGACAUACCUCUGGUGUACCAGUUAUCGUGCCAACGGUAAACGCUGGGUAGCUAUGUAUGGAGUGGAUAACCGCUGAAAGCAUCUAAGUGGGAAGCCCACCUCAAGAUAAGUAUUCUCAC